AGGACGAACGCUGGCGGCGUGCUUAAGGCAUGCAAGUCGAGCGCUCUGGGUUUUGGCCCAGGGAGCGGCGGACGGGUGCGUAACACGUGGGUAAUCUGCCCACCGGAGGGGGACACCCUCUCGAAAGGGAGGCGAAUCCCGCGUACGCCCACAGGGGGAUCUCUGUGGGGAAAGGGGCAACCCGCCGGUGGAGGAGCCUGCGGCCCAUUAGCUAGUUGGUGAGGUAAUGGCCCACCAAGGCGACGAUGGGUAGCCGGCCUGAGAGGGCGAACGGCCACACUGGGACUGAGAUACGGCCCAGACUCCUACGGGCGGCAGC
This 319-nucleotide ribosomal RNA is filed under the name uncultured prokaryote. Its description in RNAcentral is "bacterial SSU rRNA". It matches the Rfam family "Bacterial small subunit ribosomal RNA", at positions 26 to 352 of the family's 1533-position model. The record is from RNAcentral.